Molecule: ribosomal RNA, 305 nt
Filed under: uncultured bacterium
Lineage: Bacteria
Description: bacterial SSU rRNA
Rfam family: Bacterial small subunit ribosomal RNA
Source: RNAcentral
GCCUACGGGACGCAGCAGUGAGGAAUAUUGGUCAAUGGGCGGGAGCCUGAACCAGCCAAGUCGCGUGAGGGAAGACGGUCCUAUGGAUUGUAAACCUCUUUAGGCGGGGAGCAAUGCCGGGCACGCGUGCCCGGAGGGAGAGUACCCGCAGAAUAAGCAUCGGCUAACUCCGUGCCAGCAGCCGCGGUAAUACGGAGGAUGCGAGCGUUAUCCGGAUUUAUUGGGUUUAAAGGGUGCGUAGGCGGAUUUUUAAGUCAGCGGUAAAAUGUCCGAGCUCAACUCGGGAACUGCCUCUAAUACUGUUG